UACAAUCAAUGAUGAAUGUUGUUAAUCGUACUGAGAUAACAGUGAUUAUCAUACCAAUUAUCACCAUCUUUCGGCUGAGAUUGUA
This is a small nucleolar RNA of Macleaya cordata, 85 nucleotides long. NCBI's taxonomy places the organism in Eukaryota, Viridiplantae, Streptophyta, Magnoliopsida, Ranunculales, Papaveraceae. The record is from Rfam.